GAGUGCGAUCAAUUACGAUUGGCUGCUGCUGUUGUUAAUGGCAGUGUUCUGUGAUGUCCACCACCACUGCUUUCUUCCAGCUGAAGAGGAAGUAUCCGGCACCUGCACCCAAUGCCACGGCAAUGCAGAGGAUUGUCCCAUUUGGUCCAGGAACAGGCAUGGAGUUAUAACGAACAUUAACCUGUGAUUUCCGAAGCAAACAUUCCCGACUGAUUUUCAGCCCCUCGUAAGCCAAUGCACAGAGGAAGACAACCACGCAGGCACCAACCAUCCCUGCAGGAGAAAAUCCAGCAAAGGGAAGUUUAACACACAGCACCACAUGCAAGAACGGAAAAUGCAAACAGGCUGCCAGCCACACAGAGGGAAAGAAUGAGUCACUGCAUUUAGGAGAAGAAAUAUAAAAACCAAGACGGAAUAAAAAAUAGUAGCAUUUCCUGCAUAGUCCUGAGGUGAGAAAAUGUAGCUGGCUAAAUUGAGUUUUGGACCAGGUUAUUCACAACAUGUUCCAUUUAUGUUUACAUCACAGCGACAUAUGUGGCAAUAUAAUCAUAAGACUUACAACUUCAGAAGGCAGCAGUUAAUAAGCUUCGAACUCCGCUCCAGAGCCUGAAAAAGAUUGAACUUUGUCCCAGGUCUCAUGGCCUCUGUGGAUUUACUGCUGCUCACUCUCACUGACCCAAACUUUCAUUAGAAACAAGGACCCCUUUCCUUUCAGAAAUGCUGACUUGGUUAACGUUACAGACAAGAUUUCACACCAUUUGUUGUCUGUUUUGGAAUGUUCUCCGCUAACGUGUAUGAAAAUUAAGAAAAGUGGAAAGGUUUAGAAUAAAAAAAUCAAGCCAUCAA
This is a long non-coding RNA of Carcharodon carcharias (great white shark), 846 nucleotides long. RefSeq lists it as uncharacterized. The transcript has 3 exons. NCBI's taxonomy places the organism in Eukaryota, Metazoa, Chordata, Chondrichthyes, Lamniformes, Lamnidae. The record is from RefSeq and is a predicted model, not a curated record.